UUCUGCAGACCGAGCGAACCAUUUCGCCGGUCCAAACCUGACGGAGAAGCAGUCUAGUAGUCUUUUCCCCUCUUCUGAUACUAAGGCAUUGCGUUAGUGAUAGUUUGCCUUACUAGUAGAAACUUGAGGUGGCGUCUGGUUGGUGCUGGUAGACUACUAGAUGGCCUAAACCCGCGAUAGCUCCGCAGAUAGGUGCAGCUGUUACUCUGAAUCAGUUACACCCAUUUGAAGGUUGGGAUUGUUCAGUGACAAGUCUGUGAUCACUUGCUCUUGCUAAGCACUACUACGGAGGUAAUAAUAGGUAUACAAGCAAUAAACUAGCUCAAUGAUGAGCACAUAUAAGCAAGAAAAUGUACUUCGUGCACUCACUCAGAAUUUCCCCCAAAGAUGUAUGCUGCGCUGGAUACAGUCAUAUUUAUGGAUGGUCCGGAGGUGGUUUAUCUUUUGCAUUGCUACUGUAGGACCGCUUGGUGUAGGUUGGUAUUCAUCAGUUGUGGGGUUGAUUAUGUUUUUUCUAGAUGCAGCUCACAUCUCAUGCUUAUAAUAGAUGUUGGUGACUAUUUAGGUUUCUUAGGGUACAAAUGCAUGACAAAUUGGAUAUUUAUUCUACUGAUGUUGCUGUGAACACUUCUCGUAAGUAGAUCAAGUUGAUACCUUCAGUCAAUGAUAAGCAGUGUAUGAUGGGGUCAUGACUGUAGUAUUGAUUCAGUAGGGUCCACUCCUAGGAUUGAUUGUCUAUGAAUGAAAUCACAAGCCAUAGGAACUGCAGAUCAUAGAUGUUUAAUAUUCUUAAAUGUUCCAUGUUGCUCUAAGGUUUCUACAGUGUGUCGCUUUAGUCUAACAUACCUAAAGAACGAUGAUCAAGUUCACAUUUUCUUUUGCAGCCUUGUUUGGCUAAAGAAGAUUUAACUGAAGGACAAAAGGUGGACAUUUCCGUCAAAGCUGAAAAAGAAGAAGCAGUUGGGAACAAUGUUGCAGGGAUUGACAGUGAAGGAGAUGGAAUAGCUAGGCAAUCACAUGAAAAUGCAUCUUGAUCUGGACAGGGGAAGCCAAGUGAAUUUCAAUUACUGGGAGAACCAAUUUGAUCUGGAAACCAUCAAGCACUCAUGGUAGUGUGUGACUGGGAGCUAGAUGAGGCUCGGAAAAGAGAUGCCUUGGACUGAGCUAGGGUGCAUGGUGAGGAACCACCCCGUGAGGUGGAAGAGAGAGGCUUACAUGCAAGUAUUUAGUGGGAUGUAAAGGAUCACUUGGAGAGUAAGACCUCCACAGAGCUUGAAGAGAUGCGAAGUCAAAUUGACUCCCAGAUACGCUCUGAUACUGCAAAAGUUGUUGAAUACUGGGAGGCCAAAUGCCUUCAUGUUUACAAAGAAAAGAGAUUGAGAGUGGAGGAGAUGGAACAGCUAUGCAGUGACAUGAAAGUGCAUCUCGAUGUGGGCAGAGAAGGCCAAGCGAAUGUCAAGUACUGGGAGGGAUUAACAGUAAGGAGAUAGAAGAGCUACAUGAUGACAUUGUGAUGCAUCUUGGUCUGGACAGGGAAUGUCAAGUGAAUGUCAAGUUCUGGGAGCCUGAGCUAAUGCAUGGCGAUGAAGAUGCAACCGAUCCUGACGAGGACAAGACGGAACUGGUACAGUCUUUUUCUGCAGCUUUGUGCUUGUUUACAGUAAUAAAUAUAGUGAUGGUUAUUUAUGCAGUCAAAACCUUCCUGUUAUUAAAUACGGUUCAAUAGCAAUUGGGUACACCAAUUUCUGCCAAAAGAAAGUUAGUUAACAGCCUAUGUUAGAAAUACUUGUAAUAGGGGAACAUUCUUAGUAAGAUCGUAGAAUAACAUUUGAAGCAGUUGGCUUUCAUGCAUGUUUACCCUGAAAGUGGCUUAGUUUCACUUAACUUUUGAUUGUAAUACUAAUGCCCCAUAGGACGAAGGACAUUUCCCCUUGUCUGAAGUUUUUUUUACCAACCAACAAGAGCUCUGCCUCUUUUGGGGUCUUUAUGCAACAUUUACUUUUCUUGGAGGGUCGAAGAGGUGCUUUUUUCUUAGUUCAAUGUUGCGUGAAUAGGGCACAUUUAUGUGUUCUUCACAAAGUUGAGAUGAGUUUGACUGGCCAGUCACACGUGCUCAUGUGGCUCGAAAGAAAGGCAAGAAAACCAGAUGCCACGGAGUUUAAAGCGAUGUGAGCAAUGGAGGAAGGGGAUGUCGUAUUUGGUUCAGGUGCUGUGCUGAAGUGAACCUUUGUUUCAGGUUUGUUUCAUCUUUUUUAUUAUCAGAGGAUGAGGAUUGUAGAAUUGGUACCACAUCAUCUUGAUUUCGGAACAUAUCAGUAUAUGUGUAGCCACAUUAUGUAACAUUAUGUUGCUAUAUUUGUUAGGAAUUUCCAUGGUUAUAUGCUUACAUGCUAUACCAAGGUGGUUCACUGCCACUGAAUCUCCAUUCACUCUCAGGCUUUCAGCUGGAUUCUCAUGACAACCUGUGCAAUGUGCUCACAGGUAUAACUGGUGGCAUGAAAAGUACCGACCAAGCAAAACCAAAGUACCUCGUUCCAAGUGCACAUUUGAGCGCGGGAUUCUUCAUCUGUAUUCCACAGCAGUUGGUUCGUUUGUAACCAGGCCUUGUACCGAAAUGUUAACGUGACAAACGAUAUUGAUAGCUUGUAACAGUUUGUUGUUGUACCUUGACCUGAAAUCCUGAAGAGUUUUGCGCUGGAGUGCAUACUGAAAGUAGCUCUACAUGGAGUAUGUUGCGUCA
Molecule: long non-coding RNA, 2740 nt
Organism: Lolium rigidum
Lineage: Eukaryota; Viridiplantae; Streptophyta; Magnoliopsida; Poales; Poaceae
Exons: 6
Source: RefSeq, a predicted model, not a curated record